CACCAAUAUUUGUGUUCAGCGAAGUCUCCCUAGUAUAACAGUACCCCCAUGUUCAGGUUUUAUGGUGUUUUCAAAAGUUACUGAGUCAAAUAUACGGCUUGAAUUUCCUUUUUUCACAUUGAAAUUUUCCAGAUUGUUAUGUUGCCUUUGAGACCGUAUGGUAGCCCAAUAAUGAGAAUUGCCCCCAUGAUGGCAUACCAUUUGCAAAAGUAGACAACCCAAGGUAUUGCAAAUGGAGUAUGUCCAGUCUUUUUUAGUAGCCACUUAGUCACAAAC
Non-coding RNA from Pelobates cultripes (western spadefoot toad), 276 nucleotides. The record is from the annotation of a GenBank genome assembly. NCBI's taxonomy places the organism in Eukaryota, Metazoa, Chordata, Amphibia, Anura, Pelobatidae.